Molecule: ribosomal RNA, 288 nt
Filed under: Triticum aestivum (bread wheat)
Lineage: Eukaryota; Viridiplantae; Streptophyta; Magnoliopsida; Poales; Poaceae
Description: partial small subunit ribosomal RNA
Source: RNAcentral
AUGCCCCUGGACUUCACCAAGCACUUCGUCGCGGUGCCGACGGAGUUCAAGCUCAAGAACAACGACGGCUGCUCCUGGAAGGUGACGGUGGAGCUGAUGAACGCCAGGCUGACCCUGGAUCAGGGUUGGGCCACCUACGCAGUCGUUCAUCAGAUCAAGAUCCGCUACAUGGUGACGUUCAAGCUCCUCACUACCGACACCCUCAAGUUCAUCAUCUUCGACGAGGAUGGCAUUGAGGUCGUCAACAAGUGUGGGAAGCACGACAAAGCCUUCGCCGCCAAGGAGUAG